This is a long non-coding RNA of Pseudophryne corroboree (corroboree frog), 628 nucleotides long. RefSeq lists it as uncharacterized. The transcript has 3 exons. NCBI's taxonomy places the organism in Eukaryota, Metazoa, Chordata, Amphibia, Anura, Myobatrachidae. The record is from RefSeq and is a predicted model, not a curated record.
UAACUAGUUCAUUAGGAAGGGUAUAAAUGGAGUACCCUAUGCUCAUAAAAUUUAUGCUCCUGAGGAAGCUGGAUUAUACCAGUGAAACGCGUUGAGCUUACUCUAUCCAUCUGGACUUGAGCUUACUUUAUCUGUCUGGACUCUGUUCUCCAAAUCGGCCCUCAAAGCCGUGUCAUCCUUCGGCAUAAUUUGGACUUCUCUCCCAUCACUGGACCUUAUCAUCAAAUUGGUCUACUUCACCCCUACAGCUACUAAAGGACUUGUUCCAACGCUGAUGCUUACCAACGUGGGGAUCUGGCCAUGUCAAAAAUACAUCGAGGACCAAAAAACAUGGGUGCUGCAACCAAAGAUAGAAUCUGGAGGGACAUCACUCAUUCUGUGAAUGAAGUCGGCUCUAUAGUCCGAACAUCACAGGAAGUUAGAAGACGUUGGGCCGACUUCAAAUCCCGCCUGAAGGGCAAGAGGUCUGCGGAGUGGAAUGCCUCGAGGGCUACAGGGGGAGGACCAGCUGCCACUGUGGAGUUCACAGAUCUGGAGGAGAUGGCGAUGGACUGUGUCAGUUAUGAGGAGGGGGUAGGGGUGUCUCAUGUGGACACGGACCUGCCUGAAAUACUGACGGCACAUGACU